GUUCCCAUCGUCUAUCGGUUAGGACGCCUCCCUUUCAAGGAGGAAAGCGGAGUUCGAUUCUCCGUGGGAACGC
RNAcentral lists this transfer RNA (73 nucleotides) under Xanthomonas phage XbC2. RNAcentral describes it as "tRNA-Glu". It matches the Rfam family "tRNA". From Rfam's summary of the family: Transfer RNA (tRNA) molecules are approximately 80 nucleotides in length. Their secondary structure includes four short double-helical elements and three loops (D, anti-codon, and T loops). The record is from RNAcentral. Lineage: Duplodnaviria; Heunggongvirae; Uroviricota; Caudoviricetes.